ACACAUUUGUGAAGGAAUUUUUACUCCCCAAAAGAGCGCCCCCCCAUGGCAGGAGAAAAAAGUCCAUUUUUUCUUGUCCCAUAAGGUGAAAAAACACAUUGUUGAGAUUCACGCCUAUACGCUUUGUCAUAUUGACACAAAAUUUGACAAUCACGUGCCUUGCCUGGUAUCAUUUUUUUCAGCACAACCUCACCUGUGCGAAUUUACAGUUAUUUUAUCAUGUUGACAUACUGAAUUUACACAAUGGACCCAAAUUCACACACAAAACAUAAAAUCCCAGUGGAAAAAAGUAACAUUUUUACUGUGAAAACCACAAAUAUGUGUGAUGAACUGUUUUUAAAACUUAAACUUCAAAUAAAAAUUGUAAACUUCAAAACAUAUGCAAAUUUUUAACAAAGAACAUAGUGAUUUACCUCUAUUUACAUCAAAAUGCAGGCAAUGGCCCAGGCGUUCUUUGUAAAAUUAUUUACAAAACACUGUAUAGUCUCACAAAUGUCACUUUUUAUUUAUGCCACUACAAAAAAACAUGAUGUAAAUGAUGCAUGAUGUAAAACAUGAUGUAAAAAACUUGUGUAGAUCCUCCUGUAUGUCAGUCCAUGUGUAAUUUUUCCAUAAUUCUUUGUUUUUUGCAGCAUUUUUGUUAGUGUAACUGCAGAUUGUGCUGACAGUGUCUAUGGCACAAAAAAAAAAAAAAUUAAAAUGCCUCAACAUGAACCCCUGGUGGUCUCUGAGGGUGAAACCUGCUAACUGCUGCAGCUCUGUCAGCUUCAGUCUCCCAUGCAGAGCUCUGAGCGCAUGUGUGGCUCUGCACCCUUAGCAGCGUUGCUAACUCCUCAGUAAGGAAAGCCUGCUUCAUGUCAGAGUCUCUAAACUCCAGAAGAAGUCGAUAAAAGUCCCUUUCUUUCUAAAAAAAAGUCGUUAGGGGGUCUGAAAAGUCAUUGAAUCUAACAACAAAGUCGCUAGGUUUGCAACUACGUGUCCCAGACUGCAUCCCUGCUGAGAGUCCCUCCCUCCCUUCUCAUGUUGCAGGAAGAACGUAAGCGCCCGCCCCUUGUCAAUCAGUCACCAUAUAAUUUUGGAUUGGUUGUUGUGGUGAAGUUUUCCACCAAUAGGAGAGAUGUUGUGGUGUGUUUUUUUUUUCUUUUGGCAAGCCUUUUCCGCCUGUAAGAGCUGUCGCUAAUGUCUGCAUGCUAUGUUUUCCUGUCUCAUACAGCGCGAUCGAGCGCCGAACGUGAUCAAAAUAAGCAGAAAAAAAGUAUCGCGGACAUAAUUUAUCAUAACUCUGGUUUUAUUUGGCCUAUCAACACAAUUUAAAAACUGGUAUAUAGGUUGAGGUCCUCACUUUUGAGAUAAGUUGAAACGGAGAGUCAACGAGGCUCCGUCUUGCAGCUACAUCCGGUUAAAUAUGUCAUGUGACUUGAACGCACACACAGACACACACACGCACACACACACACACACACACACACACACACACACACACACACACACACACACACACACACACACUCAGAGUCUGGUUUUUAGCACCUGCAAAAACAUGCUAUUUACAUAUUUGACAAGAAUGCAGAGGCUCCUUUUGCCCCUGAAAAAAAUCAAAUUUCAAACACAACUUGACUGGUCAUUUCUCCAAAAGACAACCAUGAAGCUCCAUCCAAACCUGAAGCAGGCAGUUGGUGCAUGUGUACAGUAACCUGAGGGGAGUGAGGUGAGUGCUUCUGAGGAGAACAUGAGCAGUGAAGAUUCACCUUGGAGCUAGAACAGAGACAUGCACAUGAUUAUACAGGGGCAGGGGCUCAAGUUUUUUCCAGUCGUUUAUACAAUAUGGAAAUUAAUGUGAAAUUAAAACACAAAGUAUUAAUAGAAAGGUAAUGACUGUCUCGGUAGGUGACAGUGAUAUCCAAUAGGCUAGGCACUCACGAGGCUGGCUGUGGCAAGUGUAAGUGAAAGCAACACGCACUGGCAGGAAGAACAGCAAACGCCGAUGAAGGAAAAGGGUCUUUGCAGUGAUGGGCGUUACCAGAGAGGGCGAUGGCCAGAGGACACAAAUGGGACGGGGAGGCAGCACGUUGGGGGGGGGGACGCGACACGGCUCGGGCCCGCCAGUGCCCCAACGGGGUCCUAGUUAGGGCCCGAGCGUAGCUGCUAAGCAGCUGCGAGAGCCCUCUUGUUCCUGUAGUUUCCUUCUUUUGUUAUUAGGGCCCGAGCGUAGCUGCUAAGCAGCUGCGAGAGCCCUCUUGUUCCUGCAUGUUUCCUUCUUUCGUUAUUAUUUUUCCUCCGCUUUAAACUGGAAAAUGGCCCACUUCCCACUGGCGAAAACUCAGGAAAUUUGGCAGGACGACCGGGCCUGGUGAAAAAUUCGAUAUUCUGAAGUCGCCCAAACAAUAAAAUGCAAAAUGGCUCCAUAGCGCCCCCUAAGGUGAAAAUUCACAUGACGGCUGUACGCUUUGUCAUAUUGACACAAAAAUUGACACACACAUGUAUCUCAAUAAGAUCUACAAAAAAGUCAGUGCGGGCGUAUCUGUCAAAUGUACGGUUAAUGGGUUAUUUUGCAUUUUUUGCAGAUCUGCACACAUUGGAAUUUCGCUAACUCCUCCGAAGGCUUUCGUUCGACCGGCACCACAUUUGCGCAGGCCAAUCUACCCCCCAUGGCCAUUAAAAGUUGUACAAAUCAUGACGCUGCACCCCACGGUUUACGUUCUAGGGGGCGCCAAAGAUAACCCAAAAUCCACAUAUUUAAAAGUCUUAUAACUUUUUAUUUUUGUCCUCACUGCCCUCCAAGUUUUCUAGGAUGAUGCAAUGUCCAGCCAUCAACACAUUUGUGAAGGAAUUUUUACUCCCCAAAAGAGCGCCCCCCCAUGGCAGGAGAAAAAAGUCAAUUUUUUCUUGUCCCCUUACAUGAAAAUACACAUUGUUGAGUGUCACGCCUGUACGCUUUAUCAUAUUGACACAAAAAUUGACAAUCAUGUGUAUCUCAAUUAGAUCUACGAAAAAGUCAAAAAGCGCGUAUCUGUAUAAUGUACGGUUAAAGGGCUAUUUCGCAUUUUUUGCCGAUUCGCACACAUUGGAAUGUGGCUAUCUCCUCCUAAGGCUUUCGUCCCACCGAUACCAAAUUUGCUCAGGGCAAUCUACACCCCAUGCCCAUUCAAAGUUGUAAAAAUCAUGACGCUGCACCCCACGGUUUACGUUCUAGGGGGCGCCAAAGAUGACCCAAAAAUCCACAUUCUUAAAAGUCAUUUUGGCCACUGCAGGAGUACAGAGUACUGCAGUUCUAGGGGGCGCCAAAGAUUACCCAAAAAUCCACAUUCUUAAAAGUCUUUUUGGCCACUGCAGGAGUACAGAGUACUGCAGGAUACACACACAUACACACACACACACACACACACACACACACACACACACACACACACACACACACUCAGAGUCUGUUUUUUAGCACCUGCAAAAACAUGCUGUUUACAUAUUUGACAAGAAUGCAGAGGCUUCCUUUUGCCCCUGAAAAAAAUCAGAUUUCAAACACAACUUGACUGUUCAUUUCUCCAAAAGACAACCAUGAAGCUCCAUCCAAACCUGAAGCAGAUAGUUUGUGCAUGUGUACAGUAACCUGAGGGGAGUGAGGUGACUAUUUCUGAGAAGAACAUGAGCAGUGAAGAUUCACCUUGGAGCUAGAACAGGGACGUGCACAUGAUUACACAGGGGCAGGGGCUCAAGUUUUUUCCAGUCAUUUAUACAAUAUGGAAAUUAAUGUGAAAUUAAACCACAAAUAUGUGUGAUGAACUGUUUUUAAAACUUAAACUUCAAAUAAAAAUUGUAAACUUCAAAACAUAUGCAAAUUUUUAACAAAGAACAUAGUAAUUUACCUCUAUUUACAUCAAAAUGCAGGCAAUGGCCCAGGCGUUCUUUGUAAAAUUAUUUACAAAACACUGUAUAGUCUCACAAAUGUCACUUUUUAUUUAUGCCACUACAAAAAAACAUGAUGUAAAUGAUGCAUGAUGUAAAACAUGAUGUAAAAAACUUGUGUAGAUCCUCCUCUAUGUCAGUCCAUGUGUAAUUUUUCCAUAAUUCUUUGUUUUUUGCAGCAUUUUUGUUAGUGUAACUGCAGAUUGUGCUGACAGUCUAUGGCAACAAAAAAAAAAACUGAAAAUGCCUCAACAUGAACCCCUGGUGGUCUCUGAGGGUGAAACCUGCUAACUGCUGCAGCUCUGUCAGCUUCAGUCUCCCAUGCAGAGCUCGGAGCGCAUGUGUGGCUCUGCACCCUUAGCAGCGUUGCUAACUCCUCAGUAAGGAAAGCCUGCUUCAUGUCAGAGUCUCUAAACUCCAGAAGAAGUCGAUAAAAGUCCCUUUCUUUCUAAAAAAAGUCGUUAGGGGGUCUGAAAAGUAAUUGAAUCUAACAACAAAGUCGCUAGGUUUGCAACUACGUGUUCCAGACUGCAUCCCUGCUGAGAGUCCCUCCCUCCCUUCUCAUGUUGCAGGAAGAACGUAAGCACCCGCCCCUUGUCAAUCAGUCACCAUAUAAUUUUGGAUUGGUUGUUGUGGUGAAGUUUUCCACCAAUAGGAGAGAUGUUGUGGUGUGUUUUUUUUUUCUUUUGGCAAGCCUUUUCCGCCUGUAAGACCUGUCGCUAAUGUGUGCAUGCUAUGUUUUCCUGUCUCAUACAGCGCGAUCGAGCGCCGAACGUGAUCAAAAUGAGCAGAAAAAAAGUAUCGCGGACAUAAUUUAUCAUAACUCUGGUUUUAUUUGGCCUAUCAACACAAUUUAAAAACCGGUAUAUAGGUUGAGGUCCUCACUUUGGAGAUAAGUUGAAACGGAGAGUUAACGAGGCUCUGUCUUGCAGCUACAUCCGGUUAAAUAUGUCAUGUGACUUGAACGCUGGGGAGCGUCAAUCGAAUCGAAUCAAACCUAACUCUCAGUUGAAUCUUUAAAAUUCACCUCAGAAAUAUGCUUAUUAUUCUUCUCAGAGUACUGCAGGAUACACACACACACACACACAGACACACACACACACACACACACACGCACGCACACACACACACACACACACACACACACACACACACACACACACACUCAGAGUCUGUUUUUUAGCACCUGCAAAAACAUGCUAUUUACAUAUUUGACAAGAAUGCAGAGGCUUCCUUUUGCCCCUGAAAAAAAUCAAAUUUCAAACACAACUUGACUGCUCAUUUCUCCAAAAGACAACCAUGAAGCUCCAUCCAAACCUGAAGCAGGCAGUUGGUGCAUGUGUACAGUAACCUGAGGGGAGUGAGGUGACUGCUUCUGAGGAGAACAUGAGCAGUGAAGAUUCACCUUGGAGCUAGAACAGGGACGUGCACAUGAUAAUACAGGGGCAGGGGCUCAAGUUUUUUCCAGUCGUUUAUACAAUAUGGAAAUUAAUGUGAAAUUAAAAAACAAAGUAUGACUGUCCUGUGUAGGUGACACUGAUAUCCAAUAGGCUAGGCACUCACGAGGCUGGCUGUGGCAAGUGUAAGUGAAAGCAACACGCACUGACAGGAAGAACAGCAAACGCCGAUGAAGGAAAAGGGUCUUUGCAGUGAUGGGCGUUACCAGAGAGGGCGAUGGCCAGAGGACACGAAUGGGACGGGGAGGCAGCGCGUUGGGGGGGGGGGGGGGGUGCGACAUGGCUCGGGCCCGCCAGUGCCCCAACGGGGCCCUAGUUAUUAUUUUUCCUCCCCUUUGAACUGGAAAAUGGCCCACUUCCCACUGGCGAAAACUCAUGAAAUUUGGCAGGACGACCGGGCCUGGUGAAAAAUUUGAUAUUCCGAAGUCGCCCAAACAAGAAAAUGCAAAAUGGCUCCAUAGCGCCCCCUAAGGUGAAAAUUCACACUAUUGACUGUCACGCCUGUACGCUUUGUCAAAAUGACACAAAAAUUGACACACACAUGUAUCUCAAUAAGAUCUACAAAAAAGUCAGUGCGGGCGUAUCUGUCAAAUGUACGGUUAAAGGGUUAUUUCGCAUUUUUUGCCGAUCCGCACACAUUGGAAUUUCGCUAACUCCUCCGAAGGCUUUCGUUCCACCGGCACCACAUUUGCUCAGGCCAAUCUACACCCCAUGGCCAUUAAAAGUUAUUCAAAUCAUGACGCUGCACCCCACGGUUUAGGUUCUAGGGGGCGCCAAAGAUAACCCUAAGAUCCACAUAUUUAAAAGUCUUAUAACUUUUUAUUUUUGCCCUCACUGGCCUCCAAGUUUUCUAGGAUGAUGCAAUGUCCAGCCAUCAACACAUUUGUGAAGGAAUUUUUACUCCCCAAAAGAGCGCCCCCCCAUGGCAGGAGAAAAAAGUCCAUUUUUUCUUGUCCCCUAAGGCGAAAAUACACAUUGUUGAGUGUAACACCUGUACGCUUUGGCAAAAUGACACAAAAAUUGACACACACAUGUAUCUCAAUAAGAUCUACGAAAAAGUCCAUGCGCGCGUAUCUGUCAAAUGUACGGUUAAAGGGUUAUUCCGCAUUUUUUGCCGAUCCGCACACAUUGGAAUUUCGCUAACUCCUCCGAAGGCUUUCAUUCCACCGGUACCACAUUUGCUCAGGCCAAUCUACACCCCAUGGCCAUUAAAAGUUAUUCAAAUCAUGACGCUGCAUCCCACGGUUUAGGUUCUAGGGGGCGCCAAAGAUAACCCUAAAAUCCACAUAUUUAAAAGUCUUAUAACUUUUUAUUUUUGUCCUCACUGGCCUCCAAGUUUUCUAGGAUGAUGCAAUGUCCAGCCAUCAACACAUUUGUGAAGGAAUUUUUACUCCCCAAAAGAGCGCCCCCCCAUGGCAGGAAAAAAAAGCCAAUUUUUUCUUGUCCCCUAAGGUGGAAAUUCACACUAUUGACUGUCACGCCUGUACGCUUUAUCAUAUUGACACAAAAAUUGACACACAUAUGUAUCUCAAUAAGAUCUACAAAAGAGUCGAUUAGCGCGUAUCUGUCAAAUGUACGGUUAAAGGGCUAUUUUGCAUUUUUUGCCGAUUCGCACACAUUGGAAUGUGGCUAACUCCUCCUAAGGCUUUCGUCCCACUGACACCAAAUUUGCUCAGGCCAAUCUACACCCCAUGGCCAUUCGAAGUUGUAAAAAUCAUGACGCUGCACCCCACGGUUUACGUUCUAGGGGGCGCCAAAGAUGACCCAAAAAUCCACAUAUUUCAAAGAAUCCACAUCCCCCCCCCCCCCCCAUAUGGCAGGAGAAAAAGUUUUUUCCUGCCCAUCGCUCAAUGGCUCAAUCGCAUCGCUCUCCAGGCAACACCGUAAGGAGGAGCAACCUGCCAUUUCGAUAUAUCAUAGCUGUGUUUGUGCCCUCACUCAUGGUCCAGACUUUUUUCAAAUAGGACAUGAAGUUUGUCUGCAGCGAGUGUUUUGGUAGAAACUGCGCCUCCCAUUCAUUAUAAUAGGAAAUGACCACAGACAAGUGCGCACACCAUCUUUGGAUCUUGAGUGUGACGCGAUCGGGAGGGGGAGGCGGUCGCACUGGGGGCGGCGCGACACGGCUCGGGCCCGACAGUGCCCCAACGGGGUCCUAGUUAUUAUUUUUCCUCCCCUUUGAACUGGAAAAUGGCCCACUUCCCACUGGCGAAAACUCAUGAAAUUUGGCAGGACGACCGGGCCUGGUGAAAAAUUUGAUAUUCUGAAGUCGCCCAAACAAUACAAUGCAAAAUGGCUCCAUAGCGCCCCCUAAGGUGAAAAAUUCACCUGACGCCUGUACGCUUUGUCAAAAUGACACAAAAAUUGACACACACAUGUAUCUCAAUAAGAUCUACAAAAAAGUCAGUGCGGGCGUAUCUGUCAAAUGUACGGUUAAAGGGUUAUUUCGCAUUUUUUGCCGAUCCGCACACAUUGGAAUUUCGCUAACUCCUCCGAAGGCUUUCGUUCCACCGGCACCACAUUUGCUCAGGCCAAUCUACACCCCAUGGCCAUUAAAAGUUAUUCAAAUCAUGACGCUGCACCCCACGGUUUAUGUUCUAGGGGGCGCCAAAGAUAACCCUAAAAUCCACAUAUUUCAAAGUCUUAUAACUUUUUAUUUUUGCCCUCACUGGCCUCCAAGUUUUCUAGGAUGAUGCAAUGUCCAGCCAUCAACACAUUUGUGAAGGAAUUUUUACUCCCCAAAAGAGCGCCCCCCCAUGGCAGGAGAAAAAAGUCCAUUUUUUCUUGUUCCAUAAGGUGAAAAUUCACACUAUUGACUGUCACGCCUGUACGCUUUGUCAAAAUUACACAAAAAUUGACACACACAUGUAUCUCAAUAAGAUCUACAAAAAAGUCAGUGCGGGCGUAUCUGUCAAAUGUACGGUUAAAGGGUUAUUGCGCAUUUUUUGCCGAUCCGCACACAUUGGAAUUUCGCUAACUCCUCCGAAGGCUUUCGUUCCACCGGCACCACAUUUGCUCAGGCCAAUCUACACCCCAUGGCC
Non-coding RNA from Xyrichtys novacula (pearly razorfish), 8395 nucleotides. Lineage: Eukaryota; Metazoa; Chordata; Actinopteri; Labriformes; Labridae. The record is from the annotation of a GenBank genome assembly.